Molecule: long non-coding RNA, 340 nt
Filed under: Helianthus annuus (common sunflower)
Lineage: Eukaryota; Viridiplantae; Streptophyta; Magnoliopsida; Asterales; Asteraceae
Description: sRNA HanXRQr2_Chr16g0732381
Source: RNAcentral
GUGAGUUCUAACAGGAGAAAAAGGGGUUUCCCUAAUGAACCCUAAAAUAUACAAAAUCAACCAAAUCAAGAGGGCAAAUCAAGUCUAAAUCGAAAACCAAGCUAGGAUUAGUGAUCACUCGGGCUAGAGGAUCACAAGUUUGACACUAAACAAGCUAGGAAGGAGCUUGGAAAGAAACGGGUCAAACGGAUGAUGAUUGCGAAGAAUGUUUGCGCGGACGCGAUGAUAAAUCGGCUUAUGAAUUAGCGAUGCUAUGAAUUAACAAUUACUGAGACAAGGUAUUAAAACGGGUCAAUAUGUUGAUCCAAACCAGGUGAAUGUUAUAUGCUUCCGGAUGAAG